This 565-nucleotide long non-coding RNA is filed under the name Elaeis guineensis (African oil palm). RNAcentral describes it as "long non-coding RNA (EGUI_LNC058567)". Lineage: Eukaryota; Viridiplantae; Streptophyta; Magnoliopsida; Arecales; Arecaceae. The record is from RNAcentral.
UCCCCAAAUGCUAUAAAAAAAUUCAACCUUAUAUAUUGCUACGUUAACAAAAAGAUAUAUUUCUAAUUUAAUCAAUUUGCUACCUCUUAAUGAAACAAAUUAUUGGGUCUCUAGUUUAAUCAAAAAUCAUAAUAUAAAAAUGAAACUGGCCAUCAAAAAUUCAGAAAUGCAGCCAUCUUUAUUUACCAUAGACAAAACAAGCACAUAUGCUUCCAGGGGAAGCAAAGCCAAAGAGCCACGUGAGAGUGAAAAGGAAGGAAAUAUAACAGAGUUAAUACAAAGAAGAUAGAAAUAAACAAAAACCAAAAAGAUUCAGCGGAGAAAUAAGAUGGGCCCUGCCAAUAGCUCAGUGAAGUUGCCAAGCAAGCUAUAGUAAAAAUGGUACAGAAAUGUGAUUCAAAACCCAGAGAAUGAAGAAAAAACAGCACGUACAAAGCACGGGGCCGGAGCAUCGAUGCAAAACAUGACAGCAGGCACAUAAUAUUCAUCCAAAGUGUGAAAUGUAUAGAGCAGAUAAGGAGGCCCUGGAGACAGAGUCAUGUAGCACAAAGAAUCUAGUAGACCA